RNAcentral lists this ribosomal RNA (539 nucleotides) under uncultured bacterium. Its description in RNAcentral is "bacterial SSU rRNA". It matches the Rfam family "Bacterial small subunit ribosomal RNA", at positions 142 to 679 of the family's 1533-position model. The record is from RNAcentral.
GGUAACAGCUGGAAACGGCUGCUAAUACCGCAUAAGCGCACGGCACCGCAUGGUGCAGUGUGAAAAACUGAGGUGGUAUAAGAUGGACCCGCGUCUGAUUAGGUAGUUGGUGGGUAACGGGCCUACCAAGCCGACGAUCAGUAGCCGACCUGAGAGGGCGACCGGCCACAUUGGAACUGAGACACGGUCCAAACUCCUACGGGAGGCAGCAGUGAGGAAUAUUGGUCAAUGGGCGAGAGCCUGAACCAGCCAAGUAGCGUGAAGGAUGAAGGUUCUAUGGAUUGUAAACUUCUUUUAUAAGGGAAUAACGGACACUACGUGUAGUGUUUUGCAUGUACCUUAUGAAUAAGCAUCGGCUAACUCCGUGCCAGCAGCCGCGGUAAUACGGAGGAUGCGAGCGUUAUCCGGAUUUAUUGGGUUUAAAGGGAGCGUAGGCGGGAGAUUAAGUCAGCUGUGAAAGUUCGGGGCUCAACCUUGGAAUUGCAGUUGAAACUGGUUUUCUUGAGUGCGGCAGAGGCAGGCGGAAUUCGUGGUGUAGC